UGGUCACUAUGAUGUUGGCUCGACUCACUCAGACCACGCCUGCCGGCCGGCCGUAGCCAUGCAUCUGCAUGCGGUGGUGGCUCUGAUUGAGCCGUGCCAAUAUCUCAGUGCUCUUU
Molecule: non-coding RNA, 116 nt
Organism: Triticum aestivum (bread wheat)
Lineage: Eukaryota; Viridiplantae; Streptophyta; Magnoliopsida; Poales; Poaceae
Source: Rfam